Molecule: ribosomal RNA, 368 nt
Filed under: uncultured bacterium
Lineage: Bacteria
Description: bacterial SSU rRNA
Rfam family: Bacterial small subunit ribosomal RNA
Source: RNAcentral
AGUACACGUUGGAACCUGCCCCAAAGUGAGGAAUAAGCCACCGAAAGGUGGUCUAAUACUUCAUAAUAUCCAUCUCGUAUGGAUUAAAGCUUUAUGCGCUUGGGAGGGGCCUGCGUAACAUUAGCUUGUUGGUGAGGUAAAAGCUCACCAAGGCUUCGAUGUUUAACUGGUUUGAGAGGAUGACCAGUCACACUGGGACUGAGAUACGGCCCAGACUCCUACGGGAGGCAGCAGUAAGGAAUCUUCCACAAUGGGGCAACCCUGAUGGAGCAAUACCGCGUGCAGGAUGAAGCGUUUCGGCGUGUAAACUGCUUUUAUCACCGAAGAUUAUGACUGUAGGUGAAGAAUAAGGACCGGCUAACUACGUG